Molecule: ribosomal RNA, 230 nt
Filed under: uncultured bacterium
Lineage: Bacteria
Description: partial 16S ribosomal RNA
Rfam family: Bacterial small subunit ribosomal RNA
Source: RNAcentral
GACGAACGCUGGCGGCGUGCUUAACACAUGCAAGUCGAGCGGUAAGGCCCUUUCGGGGGUACACGAGCGGCGAACGGGUGAGUAACACGUGGGUGACCUGCCCUCAGCUCUGGGAUAAGCCGUGGGAAACCGGGUCUAAUACCGGAUAUGACUCCAUGACGCAUGUUGUGGGGUGGAAAGCCUUGUGCGGCUGAGGAUGGGCCCGCGGCCUAUCAGCUUGUUGGUGGGGU